CCUACGGGAGGCAGCAGUGGGGAAUAUUGGGCAAUGGGCGCAAGCCUGACCCAGCAACGCCGCGUGAAGGAAGAAGGCUUUCGGGUUGUAAACUUCUUUUCUCAGGGACGAAGAAAGUGACGGUACCUGAGGAAUAAGCCACGGCUAACUACGUGCAAGCAGCCGCGGUAAUACGUAGGUGGCAAGCGUUAUCCGGAUUUAUUGGGUGUAAAGGGCGUGUAGGGGGGAGGGCAAGUCAGUUGGUAAAACACAGGGCGCAAGCCUGAGCCUGCAUUGGAAACUGUGUUUCUUGAGUGCGGGAGAAGCAAGCGGAAUUCGGUGUGUAGCGGUGAAAUGCGGAGAUAUAGGGAAGAACACCGGUGGCGAAGGCGGAUUACUGGACAGAAACUGACGCUGAGGCACGAAAGCGUGGGUAGCAAACAGGAUGAGAUACCCCAGUAGUC
Molecule: ribosomal RNA, 443 nt
Filed under: uncultured bacterium
Lineage: Bacteria
Description: partial 16S ribosomal RNA
Rfam family: Bacterial small subunit ribosomal RNA
Source: RNAcentral